GGGGGGCAAACAACAUUUGAUAAUUCUGGUUUUCCUCCUCGUUAAACGAGGAGGGGGUUGGUGUUGGGGGUUCAAAAUUCUGGGGCCGGGUCUUUACACACUUAAGCAAUUCCGCCGGGGAGUGCGGGCGGCCAGCGUGAAAAUUCAAAAGGAAAUUUUCGGGGGACCCCCCCAAAGCAGCGGAGCAUGUGGUUUUAAUUUUGAAAGCAAACGCGAAGAACCUUCCCAGGGCUUGACAUAUGGGUAAAAGAUCUAGAGAUAGAUCCCUCUCUUCGGAGAUAGCCAUACAGGUGGUGCAUGGUUGUUGUCAGCUCGUGUCGUGAGAAGUUGGGUUAAGUCCCGCAACGAGCGCAACCCUUGUCACUAGUUACCAGCACUUCGGGUGGGGACUCUAGUGAGACUGCCGGUGAUAAACCGGAGGAAGGUGGGGAUGACGUCACAUCAUCAUGCCCUUUAUGUCCUGGGCUACACACGUGCUACAAUGGUCGGUACAGAGGGCAGCAAGACUGCGAAGUUAAGCGAAACUCAAAAAGCCGAUCCCAGUUCGGAUUGUAGGCUGCAACUCGCCUACAUGAAGUCGGAGUUGCUAGUAAUCGCAAAUCAGAAUGUUGCGGUGAAUGCGUUCCCGGGCCUUGUACACACCGCCCGUCA
This 651-nucleotide ribosomal RNA is filed under the name uncultured bacterium. Its description in RNAcentral is "bacterial SSU rRNA". It matches the Rfam family "Bacterial small subunit ribosomal RNA", at positions 763 to 1399 of the family's 1533-position model. The record is from RNAcentral.